RNAcentral lists this ribosomal RNA (253 nucleotides) under uncultured bacterium. RNAcentral describes it as "partial 16S ribosomal RNA". It matches the Rfam family "Bacterial small subunit ribosomal RNA", at positions 524 to 776 of the family's 1533-position model. The record is from RNAcentral.
UACGAAGGGGGCUAGCGUUGUUCGGAAUUACUGGGCGUAAAGCGCGCGUAGGCGGCCCUGUAAGUCCGUUGUGAAAGUCGAAGGCUCAACCUUCGAAAGCCGAUGGAUACUGCAGGGCUAGAGUCCGGAAGAGGCGAGUGGAAUUCCUGGUGUAGCGGUGAAAUGCGCAGAUAUCAGGAGGAACACCGGUGGCGAAGGCGGGUCUCUGGGCCGAAAUUGACGCUGAGGAGCGAAAGCGUGGGGAGCAAACAGG